UACGGGGGGGGCAAGCGUUGUUCGGAUUUACUGGGCGUAAAGGGCUCGUAGGUGGCCAACUAAGUCAGACGUGAAAUCCCUCAGCUUAACUGGGGAACUGCGUCUGAUACUGGAUGGCUUGAGUUUGGGAGAGGGAUGCGGAAUUCCAGGUGUAGCGGUGAAAUGCGUAGAUAUCUGGAGGAACACCGGUGGCGAAGGCGGCAUCCUGGACCAACACUGACACUGAGGAGCGAAAGCCAGGGGAGCAAACGGG
This 253-nucleotide ribosomal RNA is filed under the name uncultured bacterium. RNAcentral's name for it is "partial 16S ribosomal RNA". It matches the Rfam family "Bacterial small subunit ribosomal RNA", at positions 524 to 776 of the family's 1533-position model. The record is from RNAcentral.